Molecule: ribosomal RNA, 494 nt
Filed under: uncultured bacterium
Lineage: Bacteria
Description: partial 16S ribosomal RNA
Rfam family: Bacterial small subunit ribosomal RNA
Source: RNAcentral
UGGGGAAUAUUGGACAAUGGGCGCAAGCCUGAUCCAGCAAUGCCGCGUGAGUGAUGAAGGCCUUAGGGUUGUAAAGCUCUUUCGCACGCGACGAUGAUGACGGUAGCGUGAGAAGAAGCCCCGGCUAACUUCGUGCCAGCAGCCGCGGUAAUACGAAGGGGGCUAGCGUUGUUCGGAAUUACUGGGCGUAAAGGGCGCGUAGGCGGCCUGUUUAGUCAGAAGUGAAAGCCCCGGGCUCAACCUGGGAAUAGCUUUUGAUACUGGCAGGCUUGAGUUCCGGAGAGGAUGGUGGAAUUCCCAGUGUAGAGGUGAAAUUCGUAGAUAUUGGGAAGAACACCGGUGGCGAAGGCGGCCAUCUGGACGGACACUGACGCUGAGGCGCGAAAGCGUGGGGAGCAAACAGGAUUAGAUACCCUGGUAGUCCACGCCGUAAAGCGAUGAAUGCUAGACGUCGGGGUGCAUGCACUUCGGUGUCGCCGCUAACGCAUUAAGCA